RNAcentral lists this ribosomal RNA (490 nucleotides) under uncultured bacterium. RNAcentral's name for it is "partial 16S ribosomal RNA". It matches the Rfam family "Bacterial small subunit ribosomal RNA", at positions 30 to 507 of the family's 1533-position model. The record is from RNAcentral.
AUUGAACGCUGGCGGCAUGCCUUACACAUGCAAGUCGAACGGCAGCAUGAUCUAGCUUGCUAGAUUGAUGGCGAGUGGCGAACGGGUGAGUAAUACAUCGGAACGUGCCCUGUAGUGGGGGAUAACUAGUCGAAAGAUUAGCUAAUACCGCAUACGACCUGAGGGUGAAAGUGGGGGACCGCAAGGCCUCAUGCUAUAGGAGCGGCCGAUGUCUGAUUAGCUAGUUGGUGAGGUAAAGGCUCACCAAGGCGACGAUCAGUAGCUGGUCUGAGAGGACGAUCAGCCACACUGGGACUGAGACACGGCCCAGACUCCUACGGGAGGCAGCAGUGGGGAAUUUUGGACAAUGGGCGAAAGCCUGAUCCAGCAAUGCCGCGUGUGUGAAGAAGGCCUUCGGGUUGUAAAGCACUCUUGUCCGGAAAGAAAUGGCUCUGGUUAAUACCUGGGGUCGAUGACGGUACCGGAAGAAUAAGGACCGGCUAACUACGUG